This 484-nucleotide unclassified non-coding RNA is filed under the name Hevea brasiliensis (rubber tree). The record is from RNAcentral. Lineage: Eukaryota; Viridiplantae; Streptophyta; Magnoliopsida; Malpighiales; Euphorbiaceae.
GAAAUUUCAGCGUCUGAUUUUAUUCAAUAUCAAGAGUAAAUCUUGCCACAAAACAUCUUGGCGCGUUCCUUACUCAAAUAUGACAGCAAUUGGGAUUCUAACAAUGUAUCCGUCAGCUACCCAAUUCAAGUAUCCCUGAGCAAAUGGUGCACCAUAGUUGUAUCCAUUUUUGCUAAAUGUCACCGAGUAUGUUGCUUUCUGGUUCAUCCCACUGAAAUUGAUCUUGUCAGGGGUUACCUUAACAUUUACACCUUCUGGUGCAAAGACUUGAGGAGUGUACGCUGAGUUAGGUUGGCCAACAUUUGUUACUGUUCUUGUGUAUGUCUGUGGAGUAGACCCCAGUCUGAUGGAAAAUGACGGAUAAUUCAACUGAGCUUCAGGUAUGCUUGAAUCAUUUGAACAGUUCACCCCGUGCUGCACGAUGAGUCCUACCUGUUUGUCAGAAUAACCUAAUCCACAUAAGUAAGGAAUGUAAUCAUCAGGU